Paramisgurnus dabryanus is the source of this 2879-nucleotide non-coding RNA. The record is from RefSeq and is a predicted model, not a curated record. Lineage: Eukaryota; Metazoa; Chordata; Actinopteri; Cypriniformes; Cobitidae.
CAAGUAAACAAACUCAAAUCCUAUUCAGACCAUUCAUGAUUCCAGCAAUAACCAAGUUUUUUCGUAACAAUAAGACUGCAUUUACAAUGCAAAUCUUAAUGCACAGAUCAUAUUUUUUUGACUAUAUUCAUUUUUUGUUCUGAUCUUUUUAUAUUUACAUAAGACACUAUUCAUAUCUGAUAUCGGUGUUACAAUAAUUUGCAAAACUACAGUUAAUAUGAGUGUCAUGAUUUGCACUUGAGUUUUGUAUCGACUUAAGCCAGGGUCACUGCCAAUUUAGGCAUGUUUUAAUUAUGACACUUAAACAAUUGUAUAUGUACUUCGAUAAAGGUUUUUGCAAUCAUGGAAACAUAAGUGAAUCGCAGACAGCAUUCUUCUUUUACGAAUGUAAAAUGGCUGGAGUAGUGAUGUCACUAGCUAAAUUAAUUUUCAUUUGACCUCCCCCACAGAAAGACACAGCACAUCAUUAUAUCGUUGGCUCCGCCCACUGGUGUUCAGUCUAAAGUAGUAGUUGUUGACAAUCAUAAAGUUGUAAUAACAGUAAGAUUGUGAUGUCAGACAAACAUUGUGCUGUUGCUGGCUGUGGGAAAUUAGUGUCUUUGUAAGGGUCGCAAAUAAUUUGAAAAUAUUUAUGUUUCUAAAUAUGCCCCCCUACCAUGAACUAAACUGGACUGUUGCAGAGACCAAGUGUAGUAGGGUACACUACUAUGCAGAAUUCUGGCCUGGUGUUUGGUCCCCCCUUUCUCUGGCUUGUGUCUCCAUCAUCAUUACACUCUUGUCAGUGUAAUAGUAUCGUCGUCUGCAUACCAGGACUUUGUUACUCAGCUGUCCCUUCUCCUUCAAGCUACAUUUUUGUCAAGCUGCAACAAGUUGGAAUACAUAAUUAUUAACGUUUAAUGAUUUUGAUGUAUGAAAUAUGUAACAAAAGCAAAAAAUGUAUAGACAUUCUAUUAAGAAAUUACCUUUUUGUUGUUUGUUUACUGACCUUUCAACCAUAUUGCAUUUAUAAUUGAUCAUCAUACCUUUGGUCUACUGUUAACAGGUUACUGUAGAAAACAAAGUCAAACAAAAAAGAGAGAAAAAAUUAUAAAUGCUGAAUGUGUCUCAUCUUAAAUACAUUGUUGUUGUUUUUGUUUCAUUGAUUUUGGAUGUUUUGAUGAUUUAAGGAAAAUUUACGUAGCAUAUAUAUUGAUGUUUUAAAUCAGAGUUUGUUAAUGACACUUAAUCAUUAACAAACAUUUAAAAAGCUUUAUUACAAUACUAAUUGAUAAUAUUCAUGUAAUAAUCUUGUUUUGUAACACCCUAAAUCACUGAGCGCACAAACGCUACCCCUGUUACAAGCAUGAGUGAUUGACUUCAGGCACACAUGCGCAGACAUUGAAGUACCGCGAGAGUGAUUCAAAAGCCCACGAAACAGUGUAAUCACGCGGUACUGUGAUGUCAUACUGGUUAAGGCUAAGCCACGUGAAGCCGGACACAAGGGCUUUGGGCUGGAGCCUGUGGCUUUUAAGGCUUCGUGUCUCAUCGCGUUAAACGAUCGCAGAACGAUUUAUUUCUCUUUUUCACCUCGAUCUUUGGCCUCGUGUGAUUUACCAAAACCAACAUGUGAAGUUACAACGCUGACGAAGGAGUUUCAUCAGUAGAGUGUGUCCUGGAAAACGUGUGCUCGGAAACAUGCAGAAUACAGGAUUUACAGAGCCGACCUUGAGGCACCCACUGAUGGAUAAUCUGUUUACCUAAAAACAGCCCACCACAAUCCAUGUUUACCAGCUGUGAAAGUGCAGGCCAAAAAUCUUCCUUCACCUGUGGGCCUCUACCCACAUGUAGAUAAGCAUUUCAGGAGAAACCUGCCUGUGAUCUGCUAAGAUGCACAGCUUCAACUCUGGCCCAUUGUCAUCCCAACACCUCAUCUGCCAUCAGUUUCGUUUAGUGUCGGUCUAUUGCAAAAGUUCUUAUAAACUUUAAAUGAGACUUUGUGUUAAGCAGGGGUUUCCAAACUUUUCAUUCCACAACAUAUUAAGCCCAGGAUACACAGCAGGAUUUUUGCAAUCCAAUAAGACCUUAUCACACUGUGUGACAAGGAUUGUUUAAACUUCAGCAGUAGACUGUCGAUGAAGACACCUAUUGCAUCUGAAGCUGCGACAUCUGUCAUCAACAUGCGCUAGUGGUAAACAAAUACAGGUAUGCAGGUCGUAGAAGCAAACACAUUGUUGAUGUGCGUUGAUCAUGCUGAACUUCUUACACUGUCAUAAAACUAUCGUAGGUGACUUUGGUCCAAGCACUGGGAAAACAGACGUCUUUAAACCUCUCACACUGUAUGAGAUAGGACCACCAAUUAAGAGCCACGAUCACAGAAAUCUACACGAUUGUUUCACGAUUGGUAAUCUUUCAUCUGGGACAGCCAAAAAUCGUGCCGUGUAUUAUGGGCUUUAGACAGGUGUAAUCUUAUAGUAUAUCAAAACCAUUGCUAAUAAUUAAUUGGACAAACCAUCACUACAAUGCAACACUCACUAUCUUACAGUGCGACCCACAAGUGGGUCUUCACCCACAGUUUAAAAACCCUGAGUAUGAGAAAGAGUAUGUUGUAUUGUAAUUAAAGUCACAUCUAAGCGUUAUGGAACAGUUUGUCAUUAUAUUCACAGUAUUACAUGGUUCUUUCAGCAGUUACUACGUUACAGUGCUCUUAAAGUGUCCUGAUCAGCUUUGGGUCUUGUGAAGUAAUGUAAUGAGAACUUGAUCAAUAGCUUUGCAGUAUUUUGUUACACUGUGGCUGUAAUCAUAUUAACACAUAGGUUAAACAUUUUAUUCAAAUUUGGUAAACAAACUAGUCAAUAUAAUUCAUGCUGUGAUGCUGGAUUAAACCUGGUCAAUUGAUUGUG